This 257-nucleotide long non-coding RNA is filed under the name Mytilus galloprovincialis (Mediterranean mussel). The record is from RNAcentral. Lineage: Eukaryota; Metazoa; Mollusca; Bivalvia; Mytilida; Mytilidae.
GGAGCUUGUUUAUGUUAUCCAUGCCCACCGUCAUUUUGCACCAAAUUUAUGAAAUUUUGCAAGUCUUUUCGAAUAAUUCUCUAGAAAAUAUUUCAAUAGGUUUCAAAAUUUAUAUUGUAAAUAUGCACACUGCAGUUAUUCAUAGAUAAAUAAAAAAUAUAUUGUACCCUUACAUCCAAUCACAGCGCUCUUAAGUUGACUUCCUACGCCCUGUCUUGGGUACACAAAAGGCCAACCUAAUGCUGGGAAAAUUAAAU